GACGAUUGCUGGCGGCGUGCUUAACACAUGCAAGUCGAACGGUAAGGCUCCAGCUUGCUGGGGUACACGAGUGGCGAACGGGUGAGUAACACGUGGGUGACCUGCCCUGCACUUCGGGAUAAGCCUGGGAAACUGGGUCUAAUACCGGAUAGGACCGCACCGUGAGGGUGUGGUGGAAAGUUUUUUCGGUGUGGGAUGGGCCCGCGGCCUAUCAGCUUGUUGGUGGGGUAAUGGCCUACCAAGGCGGCGACGGGUAGCCGGCCUGAGAGGGUGGACGGCCACAUUGGGACUGAGACACGGCCCAGACUCCUACGGGAGGCAGCAGUGGGGAAUAUUGCACAAUGGGCGGAAGCCUGAUGCAGCGACGCCGCGUGGGGGAUGACGGCCUUCGGGUUGUAAACUCCUUUCACCAUCGACGAAGGGUUUCUGACGGUAGAUGGAGAAGAAGCACCGGCUAACUACGUGCCAGCAGCCGCGGUAAUACGUAGGGUGCGAGCGUUGUCCGGAAUUACUGGGCGUAAAGAGCUCGUAGGUGGUUUGUCGCGUCGUCUGUGAAAUUCCGGGGCUUAACUCCGGGCGUGCAGGCGAUACGGGCAUAACUUGAGUACUGUAGGGGAGACUGGAAUUCCUGGUGUAGCGGUGAAAUGCGCAGAUAUCAGGAGGAACACCGGUGGCGAAGGCGGGUCUCUGGGCAGUAACUGACGCUGAGGAGCGAAAGCAUGGGGAGCGAACAGGAUUAGAUACCCUGGUAGUCCAUGCCGUAAACGGUGGGCGCUAGGUGUGGGUUUCCUUCCACGGGAUCCGUGCCGUAGCUAACGCAUUAAGCGCCCCGCCUGGGGAGUACGGCCGCAAGGCUAAAACUCAAAGGAAUUGACGGGGGCCCGCACAAGCGGCGGAGCAUGUGGAUUAAUUCGAUGUAACGCGAAGAACCUUACCUGGGCUUGACAUAUACAGGAUCGCGCCAGAGAUGGUGUUUCCCUUGUGGCUUGUAUACAGGUGGUGCAUGGUUGUCGUCAGCUCGUGUCGUGAGAUGUUGGGUUAAGUCCCGCAACGAGCGCAACCCUUGUCUUAUGUUGCCAGCACGUUGUGGUGGGGACUCGUAAGAAACUGCCGGGGUUAACUCGGAGGAAGGUGGGGAUGACGUCAAAUCAUCAUGCCCCUUAUGUCCAGGGCUUCACACAUGCUACAAUGGUCGGUACAGUGGGUUGCCAGUCCGUGAGGGCGAGCUAAUCCCGCAAAGCCGGUCUCAGUUCGGAUCGGGGUCUGCAACUCGACCCCGUGAAGUCGGAGUCGCUAGUAAUCGCAGAUCAGCAACGCUGCGGUGAAUACGUUCCCGGGCC
RNAcentral lists this ribosomal RNA (1340 nucleotides) under uncultured bacterium. Its description in RNAcentral is "partial 16S ribosomal RNA". It matches the Rfam family "Bacterial small subunit ribosomal RNA", at positions 28 to 1380 of the family's 1533-position model. The record is from RNAcentral.